GUGGAUUACUUCUGUUUAAGAUGAAAUUGAAUUUAUAUGUCGUUAGUUUGUUUAAUUUAUUUGCCGAUGAUAGCGAUUAUUCUCUACCCUUUUCAAGUGGGUGAUAACCCUCCACGCCAGUUAGUUGUUCACGACGAUGGAAUCUCGCAACUUGCGACGGAUAUCUGUUGAUAUUCAGCAGUGGUUAUCUUGCGUCUCUCAAGAUCUUUUUUGUUUUUGUUGCCUGUAGGUGUUGAGUUUAACCAGAGAAGGAGCUUCCUGUCCUAUGUUUGUUUGGUUCAAGUGUCUAGAGAAGCCUCGUCCUAUCCUAUCAUGACUUGGGCUCUUUAACUCACUAGAGAGUGCAUUCAUGUUUUAGCCGGUGAGGACGGACAUUUUUGAGGUCUUAUAUCCAACAAUCCUCUUUGACCGCUUGACCCUUUAAAGAACAGAAGCUAUAGGAGCUCUAAACUCUUCAACAGAUAACCAGACACGGUGGAUUUUUGUCUUCUGGGGGCCUUGUCUUACCUAUUUCCUUGAAAGGAUGUAUCUUCAGUGGAAGUUUGUUGGUGGCAUUCCAGUGCGACAGCUUGAGCAUCCUCUUCCAGGUCGAGCGUAGAGGAGUGGGAGACAAGCUGUAAGCAGCGCUGUGCUUAGCUAUCGUCUCUUCUCUUCUAGAGUUUGUUAAUUGCUUAAGCCAGAUUUAUAUUGUAAAGC
This 696-nucleotide unclassified non-coding RNA is filed under the name Hevea brasiliensis (rubber tree). The record is from RNAcentral. Lineage: Eukaryota; Viridiplantae; Streptophyta; Magnoliopsida; Malpighiales; Euphorbiaceae.